This 2312-nucleotide long non-coding RNA is filed under the name Piliocolobus tephrosceles (Ugandan red Colobus). RNAcentral describes it as "lncRNA (ENSPTEG00000009020.1)". Lineage: Eukaryota; Metazoa; Chordata; Mammalia; Primates; Cercopithecidae. The record is from RNAcentral.
UUUUGUUAUGUAAUUAAAAUUUUAUAACAUUAUUAUAAGUGAAUUAUAAGCUCUUAUUGUCCAUUUCUAUUUUUUUUUUUUUUUGAGUUAAAAUAUACAUAUUUAAAGGUUCAUAACGACAUGUACUUUUAUAAUAAUUAAUAAAUAAAAUGUGUUAAAAGAGUAUAAGCACAUAACUACGCAUAACUUAUAUAUAUAUGUAAACAGCUCAGAAAGAAAAAAAAAAAAGAAAAAGCUGUUAUAAAUGUAAUAGGUAACAAACAUAUUAUUAAUUCUUUUGUUUUUUGUUUGUUCUUGUUUUUUGUUUGUUCUUGUUUUUUGUUUGUUCUUGUUUUUUGUUUGUUCUUGUUUUUUGUUUGUUCUUGUUUUUGUUUGUUCUUGUUCUUGUUUUUGUUUGUUCUUGUUUUUGUUUGUUUUUGUUCUUGUUUUUGUUUGUUCCUUUUUUCUGUUUACACCGGUAAUAAAAUAUAUCAAAGUUAAGUUUUGUCAACUUAUAUAUAUACCUUCUUAUGUUUCCAAAAAAAAAAAAAAGAUUGAAAAAAAUUAAAUAAAACGCUAGUUGCGCAUAAACUAUAAAAUAAGACAAUCAAAUAGGGAUUAAAAUAUGCAAUAAAUUAGACAAUAAAUAGAACAUGAAAAUAGAUAACAAAGAAAAAAACAUAUAAACCAAGAUAUAAACCAAGAUAUAAACCAAGAUAUAAACCAAGAUAUAAACCAACAAAUAAAACAACAAAUAAAACAACAAAUAAAACAAGAAAAAAGUAGACACAAGAAAAAUAAACAGAAUGACAUUACAGAAUUUCCUGGUUGAUAUGAAACAUGAAGGGUCAGAAACAUCUAUGGAAUGUAAAAACAUUAAAAACGUUAAUGAUAGUUAUGCGUUAACAGUUGAUAUGGAAUUAGAUGAUGUGUGUACAUCAAAGAUCACAAAAGUAAGUAAUACAAAUGAUUUAACAAGAUGGAUUUUAUUUAAAAUAUUAUUUAAAAAAUUUAUAUUAGCAUUAUUAUUUUUUAUUCUUUCUAUAGUUAUACAAGGUUUUUUUAUGAUAUAUAGUGAUUCUUACUAUAUCCCAACUAUUCCACCCUUAAAAGACCGUAUACAUGAUAUAUUAAUAAAUCCACCUACGUGGAUUUCAUAUGACCGUAUCAAUCUAUUAAUGAUUAUUUUAUUAUUGUCAUUUAUAGUGUUACUUAUAUUUAACAGUAUAUAUUUGUCAUUUUCUAUUAUUUGUCGUUUUCUGUAUAUGAUGGGUGUUUUUUAUUUAGCUAGAGGGCUCAUCAUAUAUGUUACUUCUGUACCUGCAACAAUAACUGCAUGUGAUGCAUUAAAAAGUGGUGAUUUUUUAUUCAAUUUAAUGCAAGUACUUAAAAUAAAUUUGAGUUUAGUUUAUGUUUGUACCGACUUAAUACUAUCAGGACAUUCAUAUUCGGUUACUAUUUUUUUAUUAUUUUCAUUGUAUUAUACAAAUAAUAUAUGGUUAAAAAUUUUUAUUUUUAUAUUGAGUCUUUCUGUUUACGCAUUUCUUAUAAUUGGAUUUAUACAUUAUACUUCAGACGUUUUAUUGGGAUUUAUUUUUGGACUUUUUAUAUUUACUUUUUAUCAUAUAAUGAUAGAUAUAUACCUUCAUUAUUAUAUUAUUAAUAAGCAGUUUGAUGUUAAGCAUAUAUCAAAUAAUAAUAAUAAUAAUAAUAAUAAUAAUAAUAAUAGUAAUAGUAAUAGUAAUACUAUAGCAAAACCAUUUUUUAUGCGAGUCUUCUUUGUAAGGAUGUUUUUAAAAAUCAUUCCUUUUUUAGAUGGUUUAAAUUAUAUAAUAGAUUAUGCGAUGGACAAAAAUAAUAAUAAAACUGCAUUUUGCACAUGUGAAAAAAAAAAUGAAAACUGUGAUAACUCUUUUAUUUAUUUUAGUGAAAGUAAACAUGAAGAAAAGAUGUCAAUAAAUAUAAACGAUCAUAUAUAUNNUAUAUAUACCGGAGAUGGAACGUAUAACAUAUCAUUAUUCAAAUUUAUAACCCAUUUUAAAACAUUGUAAUAUAGGUACAUAAUAUUAUUAUCUUUGUUAUACAUAUAAAAUUUAUGUAAUACCUAUAUAUACAUAUAUAUGUGCGUUUUUAUAUGCAAAAGAUUAAAUCCCUGUGCACGCUUUAUCUUUAUAUAUUGUGCAUAAAUCUGCUGCUAAAUGCAUGUAUUAAUUUUGUUUUUUUUUUUUUUUCUUUGUACUUUCUUUUAUUUAUUUUAAAGAAUCAUAAAUUAACAUUCUGAAAAAAUUAAUUAAACAAAUAAAUAAAAUUAAUUAAAUAUUUAAGGCUAUUGU